RNAcentral lists this ribosomal RNA (462 nucleotides) under uncultured bacterium. Its description in RNAcentral is "partial 16S ribosomal RNA". It matches the Rfam family "Bacterial small subunit ribosomal RNA", at positions 28 to 507 of the family's 1533-position model. The record is from RNAcentral.
GACGAACGCUGGCGGCGUGCUUAACACAUGCAAGUCGAACGGAAAGGCCCUUCGGGGUACUCGAGUGGCGAACGGGUGAGUAACACGUGGGUGAUCUGCCCUGCACUUUGGGAUAAGCCUGGGAAACUGGGUCUAAUACCGAAUAGGACCACGCGCUUCAUGGUGUGUGGUGGAAAGCUUUUGCGGUGUGGGAUGGGCCCGCGGCCUAUCAGCUUGUUGGUGGGGUAAUGGCCUACCAAAGCGACGACGGGUAGCCGGCCUGAGAGGGUGACCGGCCACACUGGGACUGAGAUACGGCCCAGACUCCUACGGGAGGCAGCAGUGGGGAAUAUUGCACAAUGGGCGCAAGCCUGAUGCAGCGACGCCGCGUGAGGGAUGACGGCCUUCGGGUUGUAAACCUCUUUCAAUAGGGACGAAGCGCAAGUGACGGUACCUAUAGAAGAAGCACCGGCCAACUACGUG